AUACCGCAURAAGUUGAGAGACCAAAGUACGGUUCCGCAAGGACGUGCGCCAUUUGAUGAACCCAUAUGGGAUUAGCUAGUUGGUGUGGUAAAGGCUCACCAAGGCGACGAUCUCUAGCUGGUCUGAGAGGAUGACCAGCCACACUGGAACUGAGACACGGUCCAGACUCCUACGGGAGGCAGCAGUGGGGAAUAUUGCACAAUGGGGGGAACCCUGAUGCAGCCAUGCCGCGUGUAUGAAGAAGGCCUUCGGGUUGUAAAGUACUUUCGGUAGUGAGGAAGUUGAGUGUAUGAAAAGUGCAUGCAAUUGACGUUAGCUACAGAAGAAGCACCGGCUAACUCCGUGCCAGCAGCCGCGGUAAUACGGAGGGUGCGAGCGUUAAUCGGAAUGACUGGGCGUAAAGGGCAUGUAGGCGGAUAAUUAAGUUAGGUGUGAAAGCCCCGGGCUCAACCUGGGAAUUGCACUUAAAACUGGUUAUCUGGAGUAUUGUAGAGGAAGGUAGAAUUCCACGUGUAGCGGUGAAAUGCGUAGAGAUGUGGAGGAAUACCGGUGGCGAAGGCGGCCUUCUGGACAGAUACUGACGCUGAGAUGCGAAAGCGUGGGGAGCAAACAGGAUUAGAUACCCUGGUAGUCCACGCUGUAAACGAUGUCGAUUUGGAGUUUGUUGCCUAGAGUGAUGGGCUCCGAAGCUAACGCGAUAAAUCGACCGCCUGGGGAGUACGGCCGCAAGGUUAAAACUCAAAUGAAUUGACGGGGGCCCGCACAAGCGGUGGAGCAUGUGGUUUAAUUCGAUGCAACGCGAAGAACCUUACCUGGUCUUGACAUCCACAGAAUCUGGCAGAGAUGCUGGAGUGCCUUCGGGAACUGUGAGACAGGUGCUGCAUGGCUGUCGUCAGCUCGUGUUGUGAAAUGUUGGGUUAAGUCCCGCAACGAGCGCAACCCUUAUCCUUUGUUGCCAUCGAUUAGGUCGGGAACUCAAAGGAGACUGCCGUUGAUAAAGCGGAGGAAGGUGGGGACGACGUCAAGUCAUCAUGGCCCUUACGACCAGGGCUACACACGUGCUACAAUGGCGUAUACAAAGGGAGGCGACCUCGCGAGAGCAAGCGGACCUCAGAAAGUACGUCUAAGUCCGGAUUGGAGUCUGCAACUCGACUCCAUGAAGUCGGAAUCGCUAGUAAUCGUGAAUCAGAAUGUCACGGUGAAUACGUUCCCGGGCCUUGUACACACCGCCCGUCACACCAUGGGAGUGGGU
RNAcentral lists this ribosomal RNA (1253 nucleotides) under uncultured Gammaproteobacteria bacterium. RNAcentral's name for it is "bacterial SSU rRNA". It matches the Rfam family "Bacterial small subunit ribosomal RNA", at positions 166 to 1415 of the family's 1533-position model. Lineage: Bacteria; Pseudomonadati; Pseudomonadota; Gammaproteobacteria. The record is from RNAcentral.